ACUAGAGGCCAUUUUAAACAGCAAAGUCACCAACAAAAAGCACAAAGAUGUGAAAAGCAUGACACCAAAUAGACUUCAGAUAGGUCAGUUGUUUACAGUAUGAGAACUGAAACAAGAAGGCAGAUCAUUAUUCUGCUCAACUUCAGCUGGUAACGGGUACAUGGGGGAACUCAAAAUUGUUUCCAUUCUGCACAUGUCUGUGAAUGACCAUGAAAAUGCUACAGAUAUUGAUUUGGGGUUACCAAUACAUUUUAGGGAGUAGGUGCAUCCACAAACAUGGACUCUGCAAAUAAUAAGGAUUGUACAUACAUUAUUUUAUUUGGCAAAUAUUUUUAGUAUAUCUAUUAAGUGCCAGAUACUGUACAAGGCACUGGGAAUUAAGAAGUGAACAAAACAAAUCUCUGUGUUCAUGGAUCUAACAUGUUGGGGAAGGGUUAAAUACGGAUGACUACAUCACGGUCAGAUGGUGACAGUAUGACUGAUUAAACUGGGAGGGGAUUAGAGAAGGAUGUGGAGGGGCUGCUAUUCAAUCUGAGUCAUCAGAGGAAAGCCUGGCAUAUAUAUAUAACACUGAAACACUCAAAGGAAACAAGUCAUAGGGACAGGCUUGGGAAGAGCAAUCCAGAAAGUGGGAGCAGGAAGUGUGAAGAUGCUGCGCAGGUGGCCAGUGUGGCUGGUGCCAUACUGGGAGAGGAGAUCAGAGUGGGCUGGCAAGUGAUGGUAAACUUUUUAACAUCAAAACCUGGACACUUGAAAGGAAUGUGCUCUGAGGAUUCAAAGCAGCAGCUCUGGCAUGCUUCCUAAGUUCUCAUAAUUUUGACAAAAGAAAACAGCCUUGUGUAGUUUCUCUUGAGAAAAGCUCAGGUAAGAGCCAGAGAGGAUCUUUGCAGAGGGAUAAAGGUGUUGCCAAACUACCCAAGACCUCUGCUAUGUCUGAGGCUUGGUUGCUAGGGCAAGGGAAGUGCCUUAAAAUCAGCCAGACUUGGUAAGAUUCUCUGGGAGAUAAGGUGGCCCAAGACUGCAAGAUUGAGGACAAUUUCAUCAGCGUUUGUAGUGCAUUUGAGAAGAGUCACAACAAACAAAUAAUCCCCAGGACAACAGGAGGAGUGGAGGCGGGAAACUAGUCCACACAGUGAGAAUCAACUUGUGGAAAAAAGCUGCUCACCCAAUACCGAGUUCGGCUCACGGUGCUUGUAAGAAUAUCAGUGCUGUGUGCGGUCCAUGCUGGAGUCAGCUGCAAAGUCUUCUGAAAUUAGAGGUCCUAAGACUCAAUCCUCACAGCUGACAGAAAAGUGUGCAGAAGACCAGAAAGAGAAGAAAGGCUUGAGGUCUUGCUGAGAUCAUGCCCCAAUGCCAGGGCUCUACCUGGGUUACACUGUGGCAGAUUUGGACAGCUUUGUGAAUCUAACUUUAUACAGGACAACACUCAGAAAUGCUUUGUGAAUGUGUCCAGGUCACGUACCUGGGAAGUGGUGCUGAUGCGACGGAAAGCACAGGACUGAAUAAUGGCUGCCAAGGAUAUCUGGGUCUUAAUGCCUGGAAUCUGCUAAUGUUACCUUAUAUGGCAGAAGAGACUUUGCAUGUAUGAUUAAAGAUUUUAAGAUAGGGGCACUUUCCUGGAUUAUUCUGGUUGGCCCUAAGUGCCAUCGGGUGUGUCCUUAUAAGUGGGAGGCCAACAGAAGGCUGAAGAUGAUGUGAUCAUGGGGGCAGAGGGAGAUCUGAAGAUGCUACUGGCUUUGAAGAUGGACAGUGUGGCCCUGAUCCAAGGAAUGCAGCUCCAGAGGCUGAAAGGAACAGGAGAUGGGCUCUUCCCUUGAGCCUCUGGAGGGAGCACAACUCUGCUGACACCUUGGUUUGGCCCAGUGAACUUGAUCUUGGACUUCUGGCCUCUAGAACUCCUAAGAAAAUAAACUUGUGUUG
Long non-coding RNA from Manis pentadactyla (Chinese pangolin), 1920 nucleotides. RefSeq lists it as uncharacterized. Lineage: Eukaryota; Metazoa; Chordata; Mammalia; Pholidota; Manidae. The record is from RefSeq and is a predicted model, not a curated record. The transcript is spliced from 4 exons.